Molecule: ribosomal RNA, 374 nt
Filed under: uncultured organism
Description: partial 16S ribosomal RNA
Rfam family: Bacterial small subunit ribosomal RNA
Source: RNAcentral
GUAGGUGGCAAGCGUUGUCCGGAAUUAUUGGGCGUAAAGCGCGCGCAGGCGGUUCUUUAAGUCUGAUGUGAAAGCCCACGGCUCAACCGUGGAGGGUCAUUGGAAACUGGAGAACUUGAGUACAGAAGAGGAGAGCGGAAUUCCACGUGUAGCGGUGAAAUGCGUAGAGAUGUGGAGGAACACCAGUGGCGAAGGCGGCUUUCUGGUCUGUAACUGACGCUGAGGCGCGAAAGCGUGGGGAGCAAACAGGAUUAGAUACCCUGGUAGUCCACGCCGUAAACGAUGAGUGCUAAGUGUUAGGGGGGUUUUCCGCCCCCCUUAGUGCUGCAGCUAACGCAUUAAGCACUCCGCCUGGGAGUACGGCCGCAAGGCUG